AGUGAACGCUGGCGGCAGGCCUAACACAUGCAAGUCGAGCGGCAGCGCGUCCGACCACCCUCGGGUGGUCGGAUGGCGGCGAGCGGCGGACGGGUGAGGAAUGCAUCGGAAUCUGCCUCGUUGUGGGGGAUAACGUAGGGAAACUUACGCUAAUACCGCAUACGACCUACGGGUGAAAGUGGGGGACCUUCGGGCCUCACGCGAUGAGAUGAGCCGAUGCCGGAUUAGCUAGUUGGCGGGGUAAAGGCCCACCAAGGCGACGAUCCGUAGCUGGUCUGAGAGGAUGAUCAGCCACACUGGAACUGAGACACGGUCCAGACUCCUACGGGAGGCAGCAGUGGGGGAAUAUUGGACAAUGGGGGCAACCCUGAUCCAGCCAUGCCGCGUGUGUGAAGAAGGCCUCGG
RNAcentral lists this ribosomal RNA (405 nucleotides) under uncultured bacterium. Its description in RNAcentral is "bacterial SSU rRNA". It matches the Rfam family "Bacterial small subunit ribosomal RNA", at positions 30 to 420 of the family's 1533-position model. The record is from RNAcentral.